Molecule: long non-coding RNA, 1491 nt
Organism: Mus musculus (house mouse)
Lineage: Eukaryota; Metazoa; Chordata; Mammalia; Rodentia; Muridae
Product: predicted gene, 32099
Exons: 5
Source: RefSeq, a predicted model, not a curated record
UUCAAACUUGCCCCUAACCUUCAAAGACCCCAGGUCUUUCACCAGGUAGCAGCGGCCUGAUUGGGGACCCCAUCAGGAUGCCUGGAUUCAUGAUAGAGAGAUCAGCAGGAUUCGUGGUGGGGGUACUGGAGGGGGGGACUAAGGAGAGGACUGAAGAGUUAGCACUGGCUCGGCUUUCUGGCUGUGGCAAAUGGCCCGCUGGAGCCCCUCAGUGUGCAGAAGCUGAAGCAGAAGUCCAGGAAGAAAUGCAUCUGUGGGGAGCGUAGGUGACCUAGCAACCCGAGGGUGGCGAGGGUGGUUUGGAGGCGGUGAGCACUGGCCUGGUCCAGCCGGAGCCUGGAAGAUGCUGAGGCCUGUCUGCCACUGGGUGUCAGGGAGCAGAGCAGCGCGGCUGGUAAGGGAAUCUCUCUGACCCUAAGGAGCCUGGGCUACCAAGUCCCCACGCUGUCCUGACGAGCAGAUGAGAGAAGAAACUGAUACCCAUCUUGCCCCCACCCCCACCUGCCUCAAGGCCUCAGCUAGGCCGUAAUCACUCUUCCCCCAACCCUGGUUCUUACAGUUGGGCCAAGAAUCUAUGCCUCUCCCCAUCCAUUCCAAUACAACCCACCCAGCUGCACACCCACGGAGGGUCCCUUCCCCAGCAAGAGCACCGGAGCGGGCCUGGGGGGUCCUAGCUCUCCAAGAGGGCGGAGCAUGAGAGCCAAAACAUGAUGCCGGAUCCUCUGGAGCUGGAGUCAAGAAUGGCUGUGAGUCACCACAUGGAUACUGGGAGUUGAACCUGGGUCCUCUGGAAGAGCAACAGUGCCCUUAACCAUUGAGCAAUUUCUCCAGCCCCAUAACACCCCUCCUUUCUUUAAAAGAAAAAAAAAAUCAGUCCUAAGCACAUAGACACAAAGCUGUUACAUAGAGAAAAUGUACGAGGGGAGAGAAGAGGAUGGUAGACAAACAGUGACCUGAAAUGUCAGUCACAGACAUAGGGGGAUAAGGACUAAGGAACAAGAAGAUGGACAGAGGGGGUGGAGGAGAGACAUCUAUCAUUAUCAGAGAGAGAUAAUGAUAUCACUUAAGUCUGUGUAUUCAACUCAGCUGUGGCUGAAUUCAGACUAAAUUCUGUACUUCCUUUUAGCCAGUCUGAAAGCUAAACAUCUUCAUUUGCAGUCUGAGCUACCCAGUACAACAGCUCUCUAUCUCCCUCACAGUAACCGAUCUUCGUGAAACAUAAAAUUGGCAUAAUUUAUGUGUCAAAUGCCAUGCUAAGUGUUUUUCAUAUCUCAAGAAAAAUAAAUCCUCCAAACAUUUCUCCAAAGGUGUGGGGUGGGUCAAGAUGGCUGCAAAUCCUUUGCCACUCCUCCCACUGCUAGACAGUCUACUUCCCCUCUGUAAAUGUUGCCUGACUCUGUAACCUGCUCCAGCCAAGAGAUAGUGACAGUGAUACUAUGUAGCUUCCAUGGCUGGACUCUCAGAAGGCAAAGAAACCUGCCCGAGGCUUGA